Carassius auratus (goldfish) is the source of this 352-nucleotide long non-coding RNA. RefSeq lists it as uncharacterized. The record is from RefSeq and is a predicted model, not a curated record. Lineage: Eukaryota; Metazoa; Chordata; Actinopteri; Cypriniformes; Cyprinidae. The transcript has 3 exons.
GCGGAGUGAUAUGAGCCCACCACAUGACUAAACAUCAGCGAAGCACUGCCUUAUUGGCUAUAUCCAGAGGCAGGCUUUAUCUUAGAAAAUCGCACAAAAAAUGGAGCGCAAAGGAGGAGCAUAGAGGGAAAGGAGAAAAGCCCUGGCGCAAGUUGCUGCAAAAUUCCAGCCAUUUUCGCCAGUAAGGGAGCAGACACAGCAGCAAUCAUGGUGGUCAUACAGUUACCACCCAAACUGUCUCUAAGCACAGAGGUCAUCAUGGAAUUGCGACCCAGCCAGAUCCACCAGGUGCAACUUGGAGCACCGUACCAUGGCUGAACCCAGCUCUUUGCUGCACAGGUGAAUGGUAAAG